UACGAACUGUGCGAACGUUAUUCGGAAUCACUGGGCUUACAGGGUGCGUAGGCGGUGAGACAAGUCAGGUGUGAAAUCCCACAGCUCAACUGUGGAACUGCGCUUGAAACUGUCUUACUUGAGGAAUCUAGAGGUAUGCGGAACUUCCGGUGGAGCGGUGAAAUGUGUUGAUAUCGGAAGGAACACCAGAGGCGAAGGCGGCAUACUGGGGAUUAUCUGACGCUGAGGCACGAAAGCCAGGGGAGCAAACGGG
Molecule: ribosomal RNA, 253 nt
Filed under: uncultured bacterium
Lineage: Bacteria
Description: partial 16S ribosomal RNA
Rfam family: Bacterial small subunit ribosomal RNA
Source: RNAcentral